This is a long non-coding RNA of Dipodomys spectabilis (banner-tailed kangaroo rat), 128 nucleotides long. RefSeq lists it as uncharacterized. Lineage: Eukaryota; Metazoa; Chordata; Mammalia; Rodentia; Heteromyidae. The record is from RefSeq and is a predicted model, not a curated record. The transcript has 3 exons.
CUAUCCCCCAUUUAAGCCAAUUAUUUCAAAUCCAUUAUUGGUAAAGAAUAUUCUGAAAUGAAGGAAAAGUUUUUCCACAUCAGCAUUUUGUAUUUAGUGAGAUAUAAUUCUCAUUAUUUUUCAAAUAU